GGGUAGCUAGCGGCAGACUAACACAUGCAAGUCGAGGGGUAGAACACUUCGGUGUUUGAGACCGGCGCACGGGUGCGUAACGCGUAUGCAAUCUACCUUGUACAGGGGAAUAGCCCAGAGAAAUUUGGAUUAAUGUCCCAUAGUAUAUAACCUUCGCAUGUUGGUUAUAUUAAAGUUCCAACGGUACAAGAUGAGCAUGCGUCCCAUUAGUUAGUUGGUAAGGUAACGGCUUACCAAGACGAUGAUGGGUAGGGGUCCUGAGAGGGAGAUCCCCCACACUGGUACUGAGACACGGACCAGACUCCUACGGGAGGCAGCAGUGAGGAAUAUUGGUCAAUGGUCGCAAGACUGAACCAGCCAUGCCGCGUGCAGGAAGACGGUCCUAUGGAUUGUAAACUGCUUUUAUACAGGAAGAAACCCUCCCACGUGUGGGAGCUUGACGGUACUGUAGGAAUAAGGAUCGGCUAACUCCGUGCCAGCAGCCGCGGUAAUACGGAGGAUCCAAGCGUUAUCCGGAAUCAUUGGGUUUAAAGGGUCCGUAGGCGGUCUUAUAAGUCAGUGGUGAAAGCCCAUCGCUCAACGAUGGAACUGCCAUUGAUACUGUAAGACUUGAAUGCUUAGGAAGUAACUAGAAUAUGUAGUGUAGCGGUGAAAUGCUUAGAUAUUACAUGGAAUACCAAUUGCGAAGGCAGGUUACUACUAAGUGAUUGACGCUGAUGGACGAAAGCGUGGGGAGCGAACAGGAUUAGAUACCCUGGUAGUCCACGCCGUAAACGAUGGAUACUAGCUGUUCGGAGUAAUCUGAGUGGCUAAGCGAAAGUGAUAAGUAUCCCACCUGGGGAGUACGCACGCAAGUGUGAAACUCAAAUGAAUUGACGGAAGGGCGAAUUCCAGCA
RNAcentral lists this ribosomal RNA (896 nucleotides) under uncultured Flavobacterium sp. RNAcentral describes it as "bacterial SSU rRNA". It matches the Rfam family "Bacterial small subunit ribosomal RNA", at positions 26 to 931 of the family's 1533-position model. Lineage: Bacteria; Pseudomonadati; Bacteroidota; Flavobacteriia; Flavobacteriales; Flavobacteriaceae. The record is from RNAcentral.